GGACAUGGGGGGAACCCUGAUCCAGCCAUGCCGCGUGUGUGAAGAAGGCCUUUUGGUUGUAAAGCACUUUAAGCGAGGAGGAGGCAUACCUCUAGAUUAAUACUCCUAGGAAUCAGUGGACGUUACUCGCAGAAUAAGCACCGGCUAACUCUGUGCCAGCAGCCGCGGUAAUACAGAGGGUGCAAGCGUUAAUCGGAUUUACUGGGCGUAAAGCGCGCGUAGGUGGCCAAUUAAGUCAAAUGUGAAAUCCCCGAGCUUAACUUGGGAAUUGCAUUCGAUACUGGUUGGCUAGAGUAUGGGAGAGGAUGGUAGAAUUCCAGGUGUAGCGGUGAAAUGCGUAGAGAUCUGGAGGAAUACCGAUGGCGAAGGCAGCCAUCUGGCCUAAUACUGACACUGAGGUGCGAAAGCAUGGGGAGCAAACAGGAUUAGAUACCCUGGUAGUCCAUGCCGUAAACGAUGUCUACUAGCCGUUGGGGCCUUUGAGGCUUUAGUGGCGCAGCUAACGCGAUAAGUAGACCGCCUGGGGAGUACGGUCGCAAGACUAAAACUCAAAUGAAUNGACGGGGGCCCGCACAAGCGGUGGAGCAUGUGGUNUAAUUCGAUGC
Molecule: ribosomal RNA, 605 nt
Filed under: bacterium E-1-0-4F
Lineage: Bacteria
Description: bacterial SSU rRNA
Rfam family: Bacterial small subunit ribosomal RNA
Source: RNAcentral